RNAcentral lists this non-coding RNA (96 nucleotides) under Lachnospiraceae bacterium M18-1. Its description in RNAcentral is "Purine riboswitch aptamer". It matches the Rfam family "Purine riboswitch aptamer". Rfam says of the family: Riboswitches are metabolite binding domains within certain messenger RNAs that serve as precision sensors for their corresponding targets. Allosteric rearrangement of mRNA structure is mediated by ligand binding, and this results in modulation of gene expression. RNAcentral also lists the same sequence under 1 other name. The record is from Rfam by way of RNAcentral. Lineage: Bacteria; Bacillati; Bacillota; Clostridia; Lachnospirales; Lachnospiraceae.
AUGCAUAAGUAUUUGAAAGCUUAUAUAUAUCCGAGAUUGGUCGGAUGUUUCUACUAACUACCGUAAUAGUUAACUAUAAGUUUUCAUAUCGUGAAC